CAACAGUGAAGGAAUGGCGAUAUAUUUCCAAGUGAGGGUGGCACCUUCCAAGACUCCUUCAUCUUGCAGCAAUCUUCCUCAGAUCUUCUCUUCAACCUCAAAAAUGACCACACAACAUCAGAAGUCUGAUUGGUUGUCAACUUCUUUACUCUCCAGAGGGAGUCUCACUCGUUGUGGUCUGCUAUCUUCUCCAGACAGUUCUAUCAACCCAGAAUGAAGUCUUGUUAACUAUUGGUGGAUUCCCUCUGAGGAAAUAAGAUCAUUCCUGAGAUUGAGGAGACUCAAACUUCAUACAGUACUCUUGGUGAGGUCCCACCAGACUUCUGUACAGUUGAAGCAAGCUUCAGAACUCCAACAUUAUUGGUGUUUGUGGAUUGCAGAGAGAUUUCAGGAAGCUGGCUGCAGUUGAUCAUCAAGGACCAGCUGUAUAUGUUUUUUAAAAUUGGAUUUGAUUUAUUGCCACAUGUACCUUGGUUUACGCGCUGUACAGUAAGCAAGGACAUACAAAUCAUAUGGUGAAAAAAACUCUUGGACAGAGGCAUGCAGGUUACAUCGCACAGGGUUUGCACUUGGCAAGAUCAACAUUAGCAAGACCAGCAUUAUUUGAGGAUAGAGAGUUCAUUCAACAGUCUAAUAACAACCUGGAAGAAAGAAACGGUUCCUGAAUCUGCUGGUGCAUGUGUUCAAUUUCUGUAUCUUUUGCCUGAUGGAAGAGGUUGGAGGAGAUCAUUACUAGGGUGAUGGGUCUUUGUUGGCUGCCUUUCUGCAGCAGUAUGCCAUAUAAAUGGAGUCAAUGGAUCGAAGGUUGGCUUCCAUGAUGAUCUGGGCUGUGAGCACAACCAUCUGUAUCAUAAUAUCAUAAAAUCAUAAUAGUAGCCACUAUUCUUCCCUUUGGAAGAAAAAAGUCAAUGUAGUUUUCAAUAUAGCUCAUAAGAUGGUCCUUUAACACAGGGGAUGACAUCCUUGCCUCUGAGUCACAAGUUCCACAUACAAGUUCCACUCCAGGACUUGACGGCCAAAGUGAUUUGGCCAAGCAGGUAAAUGCAUCCACCAGAUGCCAAAGACAGGUAACAAGCACAAAGGAAGAUUCCUGGUCAGGUAUGUGAUGGAAAACAAUGAGAAAGCCUCUACUGAUCACUAUCCAUCACUCCAUACAACAACAGGUAAAAAGUGCUGUUGUCACAGCAACAGACGCCGAGUGAUCAUUUACACACACACAGAUAAACCAGUUCACCUGAGUUAGUACAUGAAACCAUGAAAAGAGUGGAAAAAUCUGAUGUUUAUGACCCAUCAACAAAAUCGAUGUUUUCAAAAAGGAGGAAAAUGGGGACAGCAGAUAAUUGGUGUUUCAAUCUAACCUUUCAAAUCAAAAGAAAAACCAUUUGUCCCAGUACAACAUCUAAGGCCCAAAGCAUUACAAUGAACAACUAAAAAUCAUUUGGAACACUUUCAGUCUAACAACAGUAUUUGUACUUCCAGUCUGGAUGGACUUUUAAAACCCAAAUUGGCUGUGUUCCCUUCCCUUACUAACAUUAGAGAACGUCAGUUCUAAAGUGGUCUCCCACAACUCUAUUGUAUGCUUCUGAUAAGAUAUUGCUAACUAGCUCCAUAAUUAACUGAUAGGAUCAGUGUCAGCAACAAAAACCUUGGCAACGGCCCUAAAGAUAGAGGCAACAGAGAUACAUGUGGAAAAAAUGUAAGUAAAUAUGGGAACAAAGACUAAAAGCAACAAUUAACAAGGUAGCCAGCAGCUAGGUUAAGGGUGGUUAGGUGCCAGAAGAAUCUCCUUCCACUUGUGCUCAUCAUUUUUACAAUGCUGUUCAUCCAAAAUAUCUUCCAGUUCAGAGGAAGUCUCCAAACCUGAAAUAUCAAACUUGAAAAUUCACCCUGCUGAUGCUGUGUAACCUGCAGAGUGUUUCUACAAUUGAAACAUCUGCAAUACUUUGCAUUUUGAAUGUACACAAUGAGUUGGAAAAUUGGUGCCAAUCAGAUAAAACAUGGACUCAGUGUAGGGAUGUGACAAGCUGCUGGUAGGACCACUUCUGGCCAAGGGAAAUAAUUGACUGAAUUGAAAUUAGGCUCUUAUCGUCAGAUACCUGGCAGCGACAAAAAGCUCAAGAAAGUCAUUGGUGUCUUGUGACCUCAGAAUGACUUGGACUCAACGUCAGCUCAAUGUGAUGAGUUAAAUUGACAGCAAUAAAACAAUAAUUCGAAUUUUGUUCCUCAAAUAUAAAAAGACAAAUACUUUUGAUUGCACAUAUGGCAGGCCAAUUGUAUUUUGCACUGACCAAUUACCUUCAGCAAUAUCUUGAAGUUUAUCAAAUAUGUGAUCAUAGUUUUUAUUAUGUUGUGUUCCAACCUGCAAGAUAAACACAUUAGGUUAGGAAAAUGUCAGAGGUUACAUAACAAAAAAAAGCUAAGGUAUACUCACCUUGAGCCAGCUCUUUUCCAGUGUGAAGUGCUACACAGCGUGAAUACUGAACCUAAUUCUGGGGACUAGCUUGGCUAAUUAUUACCAAAAGGUCAUUCACCUUCAUUUUGAUUGCCAGUCCAUUUUGAUCAUCAGCCCAUUUUUAAGUGUAGGUGGCUGAUUUUUCUAGGUCGUGGGAAUGUUAGCAGCCUAAAUGGAAGCAGGAAAGUUUGCAUCAACAUGUAAACUAUCUCCAUAGCACUGCUGAAGGCUAGGAGGGCAGGAUUGUUUUCAUCAGGCUAAACAAGGUAUUGUCCCCGACCUCCCCAAUCUGUCAGCUCACUAUCUAACCACAAUUAUCAGACCCUGUCAGACAGAACACUGCGAAUGUUAUUUUUGCUGCAGUUAAAUAGACAUCAACUACUGAUAGUACAGAAAAUACCCAUUUGUGAGAUGGAGCAGCAAAACCUGGAACAAUUUCUUCACCUAAAAAUGCAUAUUUUGUAAGUUUUACAUUUGAUUUCAUAUUUUUUAAAAAAUAUUCCUAAUGCAAAAUGGUCCCAAAUGAGAAAAAACAUUAUGAAAAGUUAAUUGAAACUUCUAGUAAGGACAAUAAAAUACACUUUAAGAGUAGGUUGUAUGUGAAGAGUUAACAUGACUUAGAGUCAUGGAAACAUAUCCUUCGGUCCAACUCGUCUAUGCUGACCAGUUAUCUUCAACUGAUCUCGUUCCUUUUGUCAGCAUUUGGCCCAUUUUUUAUGAUGCCUCUGAUGAAAUGCCUUGGGAUAUUAAAUUUGAAAAAUAUUUUUAAUGGAAGUUAUUAUUGUUGACACCUGCUUUUGAGGCUGGCUGCUGCUCCUGAUUUUCUGUUAUGUAUGAACUUAUGAAUUAGAACCAAGAAUAGACCAUUUGGCCUGCAUUGCCAUUUAAUGGCUAAUCAUGGCUAAGUUGAUGGCAACUCAAUGCCACAUACUACAAUUAUCUAUUUCCCACUUGCAUACUAAGAACAGAUCCACCCAAUACUCGGACUCUGCUCCACAACUUUUAGAGGAACAUGGUUCCAAAGCCUCAGUGUGUGGGAGCUGCAUUGUUUGAGGAUGGAGGAAAGGCUUGAAAACCUUUACAAUUGAGGAAGCAAAGUUGAGGACCUGUUAUACAGGCAUGAGCCGAAUCAAAGUAGUUAAAAACUUAGGUGGUAUUUCAGGUUGAAUUGUGAUGAUGCAAGAUGAACAAGGGCUCACUGAAGGUGGAAUUGCACAACAAAAAUAGGAGAAAUUAUGUCAGCAUUAACAGACGAUCAUAGCUUUCAAACAUUGCAGGAAAAAGACAAAAUAUGUACAAAGAAACUGCUAUGUACAAAGAAACUGAAUUGAAAGGGAUAUUUCUUGUUAAAAAGUGAUCUCCCAAAGAAAAUUAACAAACCUCAUCUUGAUAGCACUUUACCUGAAGAAAUACUGCCAGAACAGCGAGACCAUCUGCUUUCUGUGAUGCAUUGACCAAACUUUCAUACUUGGCAGCAAAGUGAACAAUGUGCAUCUGCAGCAAUAAGAAGUACAUAAGAACUAGGAAUAGGAGUAGGCAAUUCAGCCCCACUGUAAUGAUUCUAGCUACUGGUGUGUAUUGUCUUUACUUUACAGUGAGAGUUUGAUCCAGGACAUUUCACAGAAACUUAAACUAGGAGCAGGAGUAGGCUGGUCGACCUAUUGAGCCUGCUCCACCAUUCAAUAGGAUUAUCAUCGUAGAAUCCCUACAAUGUGGAAACAGGCCA
Chiloscyllium plagiosum (whitespotted bambooshark) is the source of this 4178-nucleotide non-coding RNA. The record is from RefSeq and is a predicted model, not a curated record. Lineage: Eukaryota; Metazoa; Chordata; Chondrichthyes; Orectolobiformes; Hemiscylliidae.